GAAAUGCGAUAAGUAGUGUGAAUUGCAGAAUUCAGUGAAUCAUCGAAUCUAUGAACGCACAUUGCGCCCUUUGGUAUUCCAAAGGGCAUGCCUGUUCGAGCGUCAUUUGUACCCUCAAGCUUUGCUUGGUGUUGGGCGUCUUGUCUCUAGCUUUGCUGGAGACUCGCCUUAAAGUAAUUGGCAGCCGGCCUACUGGUUUCGGAGCGCAGCACAAGUCGCACUCUCUAUCAGCAAAGGUCUAGCAUCCAUUAAGCCUUUUUUCAACUUUUGACCUCGGAUCAGGUAGGGAUACCCGCUGAACUUAAGC
RNAcentral lists this unclassified non-coding RNA (307 nucleotides) under plant metagenome. RNAcentral describes it as "partial contains 5.8S ribosomal RNA, internal transcribed spacer 2, and large subunit ribosomal RNA". The stretch from base 1 to 105 matches the Rfam family "5.8S ribosomal RNA", at positions 50 to 154 of the family's 154-position model. The record is from RNAcentral.